GCAAAUUUUAUUUAUUUUUAUUUUUCCAAAACUAUUAAUGGCGCAUCAGGGCAUAGUGCGCCAUUAAUAGUUUUAACUAGUAAUGACGCACCACACGCUCGAUGCGCCACUACUGACAAUUUUUUUUAUUUUUUUUUCCAAAAGUAGUAAUGGCGCACUUGGGCGAAGUGCUCCAUUACUAGCUCAAACUAGUAAUGGCGCACCACACCCACGGUGCGCCACUACUGAGAAUUAGUUUUAUGCUAUUCUUAAGAUAAGAUUUGAAGUGAUGACACCAGCCUUAUCCUUUGUGAAUUUAUUAGGCAAAUGAGGAUUGAAAUUCUGCCAAGAAAUCUCAGAGUAGAAGAUGUUUGCAAGGGACUUGGGAGACGAGGCAAUGCUGCACAGGCGAGAAAAUGGCAAUUUGGAGAAAUUCGUGGUUACCACCAGUCUCGAGUUAGAUUUAUUUCAAUUGCAACCAGGCAGAGUGUUGUGAAUUUGAAUUUGGGUGUGCAUGAUCUUACUAGCUUCUAAUUCUACGGAGCCAUACGGAUGAUGGUGUGUUUGCUCUCACACAUUUAUUCAAAGGAUCAUUGUGAUGAAUGAUACCAAUUCUAGGUUGCUGGAACUUGCAUCCAAUCCUUCUAUUCCCAACUGAUGAGUUUAUAGGUUGCAGUGUUUGUGGUGGUCUCCUCCUGAUGGAGCUCAGUAUAUGCCCUUCUUGUUUACCUAAAAAUCUCUUCUCUCCUAAGAUCUUGUAGGAAUCUUUCUUUUUUCCUUAAGAAGCAUGCUACCAAUGGACGCCAGAUGUUCCAGCACCGAAAAGUUGGUGACCAUGCUUGGGUGUUUCAGAAUUCAUAUGAAAAGCAUUUAUUUUUUACUUUCAGGGAUUGCUCCAUCUUGCAGUUUCUAAUAUGGCUGGACAAUUACGAUUUCACAUAUAUCUGAAAAACCACAGCCCAUCUGUGUUCUAUAAACGUUGGUGUGGUCUUAUGUGCACCAAGAAUUCUGUCAUUAACAUAAGGUAUUUUACACCCGCACUGCAAACUGUUGAUAAAUCUGAUGUGUUGCUUGCACUGAGAAUUCUUACAUUUGCGUAAGGUAUUUUACACUGGCGUUGUGAACUCAUUGACAAUUAGCAUUCAUCAGCUAAGCACACCUCGAUGUACGCAGCCUGUAUAUUAACAUGUCUUUAGAAAUGAGUAUAUCCAGUGUUUC
Triticum aestivum (bread wheat) is the source of this 1197-nucleotide long non-coding RNA. RefSeq lists it as uncharacterized. The record is from RefSeq and is a predicted model, not a curated record. The transcript is spliced from 4 exons. Lineage: Eukaryota; Viridiplantae; Streptophyta; Magnoliopsida; Poales; Poaceae.